CCUACGGGAGGCAGCAGUAGGGAAUAUUGCUCAAUGGGGGAAACACUGAAGCAGCAACGCCGCGUGGAGGAUGAAGGUUUUAGGAUUGUUAACUCCUUUUGUGAGAGAAGAUAAUGACGGUAUCUCACGAAUAAGCACCGGCUAACUCCGUGCCAGCAGCCGCGGUAAUACGGAGGGUGCGGUCGUUAAUCGGAAUUUCUGGGCGUUAAGCGCUCGUAGGCGGUAUGUCAAGUCAAGGGUGAAAUCCCCGGGCUCAACGUGGGAACUGCCUUUGAAACUGGCAAACUGGAGUGUGUGAGAGGAUAGUGGAAUUCCAGGUGUAGGAGUGAAAUCCGUAGAUAUCUGGAGGAACAUCAGUGGCGAAGGCGACUAUCUGGCACAUAACUGACGCUGAGGAGCGAAAGCGUGGGUAGCAAACAGGAUUAGAUACCCUAGUAGUC
This 440-nucleotide ribosomal RNA is filed under the name uncultured bacterium. RNAcentral's name for it is "partial 16S ribosomal RNA". It matches the Rfam family "Bacterial small subunit ribosomal RNA", at positions 338 to 795 of the family's 1533-position model. The record is from RNAcentral.